Molecule: ribosomal RNA, 406 nt
Filed under: uncultured bacterium
Lineage: Bacteria
Description: bacterial SSU rRNA
Rfam family: Bacterial small subunit ribosomal RNA
Source: RNAcentral
UGCCGGGGAGCAACGGGGUCCUUGCGAGGGUCCAAUGAGAGUACCCGGAGAAAAAGCAUCGGCUAACUCCGUGCCAGCAGCCGCGGUAAUACGGAGGAUGCGAGCGUUAUCCGGAUUUAUUGGGUUUAAAGGGUGCGUAGGCGGGCUGUUAAGUCAGCGGUCAAAUGUCGGGGCUCAACCCCGGCCUGCCGUUGAAACUGGUGGCCUCGAGUGGGCGAGAAGUAUGCGGAAUGCGUGGUGUAGCGGUGAAAUGCAUAGAUAUCACGCAGAACUCCGAUUGCGAAGGCAGCAUACCGGCGCCCGACUGACGCUGAGGCACGAAAGCGUGGGUACCGAACAGGAUUAGAUACCCUGGUAGUCCACGCAGUAAACGAUGAAUGCUAGCUGUCCGGGGCUUCGGUCCUGG